Molecule: ribosomal RNA, 253 nt
Filed under: uncultured bacterium
Lineage: Bacteria
Description: partial 16S ribosomal RNA
Rfam family: Bacterial small subunit ribosomal RNA
Source: RNAcentral
UACGGAGGGUGCAAACGUUGCUCGGAAUCAUUGGGCGUAAAGCGCACGUAGGCGGCCUAUCAAGUCGGAUGUGAAAGCCCUGGGCUCAACCCAGGAAGUGCAUCCGAAACUGACAGGCUUGAAUGCCGGAGGGGCCCAGAGAAUUCCCGGUGUAGAGGUGAAAUGCGCAGAUAUCGGGAGGAACACCAGUAGCGAAGGCGGCACUCUGGGCCGGUACUGACGCUGAGGAGCGAAAGCGUGGGGAGCAAACAGG